Molecule: ribosomal RNA, 449 nt
Filed under: uncultured bacterium
Lineage: Bacteria
Description: partial 16S ribosomal RNA
Rfam family: Bacterial small subunit ribosomal RNA
Source: RNAcentral
CCUACGGGAGGCAGCAGUAAGGAAUAUUGGUCAAUGGACGCAAGUCUGAACCAGCCAUGCCGCGUGGAGGAUGAAGGUCCUCUGGAUUGUAAACUUCUUUUAUUUGGGAAGAAACUCCCGAUUUCCAUCGGGAUUGACGGUACCAGAUGAAUAAGCACCGGCUAACUCCGUGCCAGCAGCCGCGGUAAUACGGAGGGUGCAAGCGUUAUCCGUAUACACUGGGUUUAGAGGGUCAGGAGGUGGGGUGGUAAAAGCUCCGGGCUUAACCCGGGAACUGCCAUUGAUACUAUGUGUCUUGAAUACUCUGGAGGUGAGCGGAAUAUGUCAUGUAGCGGUGAAAUGCUUAGAUAUGACAUAGAACACCCAUUGCGAAGGCAGCUCACUACGGAAAUAUUGACGCUGAGGCACGAAAGCGUGGGGAUCAAACAGGAUUAGAUACCCCGGUAGUC